This 425-nucleotide ribosomal RNA is filed under the name uncultured bacterium. Its description in RNAcentral is "partial 16S ribosomal RNA". It matches the Rfam family "Bacterial small subunit ribosomal RNA", at positions 354 to 796 of the family's 1533-position model. The record is from RNAcentral.
GUUAGGAAUAUUGGACAAUGGGCGCAAGCCUGAUCCAGCCAUGCCGCGUGAACGAUGAAGGCCUUCGGGUUGUAAAGUUCUUUAGCCGAUGAUUAUAAUGACUGUAGUCGGAAAAUAAGCCCCGGCUAACUUCGUGCCAGCAGCCGCGGUAAUACGAAGGGGGCGAGCGUUAUUCGGAAUCACUGGGCGUAAAGCGUGCGUAGGCGGUCUCGUAAGUUAGGAGUGAAAGCCCAGGGCUCAACCUUGGAAUUGCUCUUAAAACUGCAAGGCUAGAAUCUCGGAGAGGAUAGCGGAAUUUCCAGUGUAGCAGUGAAAUGCGUAGAUAUUGACAGGAACACCAGUGGCGUAAGCGGCUAUCUGGACCGAUAUUGACGCUGAGGCACGAAAGCGUGGGGAUCAAACAGGAUUAGAAACCCGUGUAGUCC